This 733-nucleotide ribosomal RNA is filed under the name Bacillus thuringiensis. Its description in RNAcentral is "bacterial SSU rRNA". It matches the Rfam family "Bacterial small subunit ribosomal RNA", at positions 56 to 770 of the family's 1533-position model. Lineage: Bacteria; Bacillati; Bacillota; Bacilli; Caryophanales; Bacillaceae. The record is from RNAcentral.
UGCAGUCGAGCGAAUGGAUUGAGAGCUUGCUCUCAAGAAGUUAGCGGCGGACGGGUGAGUAACACGUGGGUAACCUGCCCAUAAGACUGGGAUAACUCCGGGAAACCGGGGCUAAUACCGGAUAACAUUUUGAACUGCAUGGUUCGAAAUUGAAAGGCGGCUUCGGCUGUCACUUAUGGAUGGACCCGCGUCGCAUUAGCUAGUUGGUGAGGUAACGGCUCACCAAGGCAACGAUGCGUAGCCGACCUGAGAGGGUGAUCGGCCACACUGGGACUGAGACACGGCCCAGACUCCUACGGGAGGCAGCAGUAGGGAAUCUUCCGCAAUGGACGAAAGUCUGACGGAGCAACGCCGCGUGAGUGAUGAAGGCUUUCGGGUCGUAAAACUCUGUUGUUAGGGAAGAACAAGUGCUAGUUGAAUAAGCUGGCACCUUGACGGUACCUAACCAGAAAGCCACGGCUAACUACGUGCCAGCAGCCGCGGUAAUACGUAGGUGGCAAGCGUUAUCCGGAAUUAUUGGGCGUAAAGCGCGCGCAGGUGGUUUCUUAAGUCUGAUGUGAAAGCCCACGGCUCAACCGUGGAGGGUCAUUGGAAACUGGGAGACUUGAGUGCAGAAGAGGAAAGUGGAAUUCCAUGUGUAGCGGUGAAAUGCGUAGAGAUAUGGAGGAACACCAGUGGCGAAGGCGACUUUCUGGUCUGUAACUGACACUGAGGCGCGAAAGCGUGGGGAGCA